AGCAGCCGCGGUAAUUCCAGCUCCAAUAGCGUAUAUUAAAGUUGUUGCAGUUAAAAAGCUCGUAGUUGAAUUUCGGGAUCGAAUUGUUGGUCGUGCCUCGGUACGCACUGGCAUUAUCGGUUUCUACCUUCUGAAGAACCGCGAUGUCAUUAAUUUGGUGUCGUGGGGAAUCAGGACUGUUACUUUGAAAAAAUUAGAGUGUUUAAAGCAGGCUCAUGCUUGAAUACAUUAGCAUGGAAUAAUGAAAUAGGACAUCCGAUUCUAUUUUGUUGGUUUCUAGGAUCGAUGUAAUGAUUAAUAGGGAUAGUUGGGGGCAUUAGUAUUCAAUUGUCAGAGGUGAAAUUCUUGGAUUUAUUGAAGACUAACUACUGCGAAAGCAUUUGCCAAGGAUGUUUUCAUUAAUCAAGAACGAAAGUUAGGGGAUCGAAGACGAUCAGAUACCGUCGUAGUCUUAACCAUAAACUAUGCCGACUAGGGAUCGGAUGAUGUUAAUUUUUUAAUGACUC
RNAcentral lists this ribosomal RNA (506 nucleotides) under uncultured Glomeromycotina. Its description in RNAcentral is "SSU rRNA". It matches the Rfam family "Eukaryotic small subunit ribosomal RNA", at positions 569 to 1077 of the family's 1831-position model. Lineage: Eukaryota; Fungi; Glomeromycota. The record is from RNAcentral.